Molecule: non-coding RNA, 98 nt
Organism: Blastosporella zonata
Lineage: Eukaryota; Fungi; Basidiomycota; Agaricomycetes; Agaricales; Lyophyllaceae
Source: the annotation of a GenBank genome assembly
GCAUUAAUGGGGUAGUGGUAACCUGGGUCGUUGCCAUUAGUUGUCUUGAUCCCAAUAUUCGUUUCGACCCGCCGGGAGUUCGAUUCUCUCUUAAUGCA